This is a long non-coding RNA of Homarus americanus (American lobster), 801 nucleotides long. RefSeq lists it as uncharacterized. The transcript is spliced from 2 exons. Lineage: Eukaryota; Metazoa; Arthropoda; Malacostraca; Decapoda; Nephropidae. The record is from RefSeq and is a predicted model, not a curated record.
CAUAUUCAGAGCAAUCUGUGAAGUCAACUUUGAAAAUCAUUAUUGUAGAUAUUGAGAAUAACAGUAACUGUAAUGAACUAAUUGAAAAGGUCCUCUGUAGGUAAAAAUUCACUGUUGUACUGUAGCUUAUGUGGUGUUGGGAAUGAUUAUUGUAUAAAAGAAUUACUAUAUUACUACUGUAAUUAUAGAUCUCAUGUGUAGUUGAAGAAAUAAAUUUUGUAUAUUAUCUUUUAAACUGAAUAGUGAACAAUGCAUUUUAAGGUGGUCUGAUUGGAAUUGUCUUCCAUAUUCAGAGCAAUCUGUGAAGUCAACUUUGAAAAUCAUUAUUGUAGAUAUUGAGAAUAACAGUAACUGUAAUGAACUAAUUGAAAAGGUCCUCUGUAGGUAAAAAUUCACUGUUGUACUGUAGCUUAUGUGGUGUUGGGAAUGAUUAUUGUAUAAAAGAUUUACUAUAUUACUACUGUAAUUAUAGAUCUCAUGUGUAGUUGAAGAAAUAAAUUUUGUAUAUUAUCUUUUAAACUGAAUAGUGAACAAUGCAUUUUAAGGUGGUCUGAUUGGAAUUGUCUUCCAUAUUCAGAGCAAUCUGUGAAGUCAACUUUGAAAAUCAUUAUUGUAGAUAUUGAGAAUAACAGUAACUGUAAUGAACUAAUUGAAAAGGUCCUCUGUAGGUAAAAAUUCACUGUUGUACUGUAGCUUAUGUGGUGUUGGGAAUGAUUAUUGUAUAAAAGAUUUACUAUAUUACUACUGUAAUUAUAGAUCUCAUGUGAAGUUGAAGAAAUAAAUUUUGUAUGCUAACUUUUA